This 294-nucleotide ribosomal RNA is filed under the name uncultured bacterium. RNAcentral's name for it is "partial 16S ribosomal RNA". It matches the Rfam family "Bacterial small subunit ribosomal RNA", at positions 775 to 1067 of the family's 1533-position model. The record is from RNAcentral.
GGAUUAGAUACCCUGGUAGUCCACGCCCUAAACGAUGAGAACUAGAUGUUGGAGGAGAUUGAUCCUUUAGUAUCGCAGCUAACGCGCUAAGUUCUCCGCCUGGGGAGUACGGCCGCAAGGUUAAAACUCAAAUGAAUUGACGGGGGCCCGCACAAGCGGUGGAGCAUGUGGUUUAAUUCGAUGCAACGCGAAGAACCUUACCUGGCCUUGACAUCCUCGGAACCUCGCAGAGACGUGAGGGUGCCUUCGGGAACCGAGAGACAGGUGCUGCAUGGCUGUCGUCAGCUCGUGUUG